Oncorhynchus keta (chum salmon) is the source of this 1007-nucleotide long non-coding RNA. RefSeq lists it as uncharacterized. The record is from RefSeq and is a predicted model, not a curated record. The transcript has 3 exons. NCBI's taxonomy places the organism in Eukaryota, Metazoa, Chordata, Actinopteri, Salmoniformes, Salmonidae.
UUUCGACCUGUUUGCUUCUACGUUCGUGCGCACGUAUGGGUACGGUUAGGUAAGAUAAGGGAUAGGUAAGGUAGAGUAAGGAAGGGUAAGGUAAGGGAUAUGCUAGGUAAGGUAGGAUAGGGUAAGGUAUGGUAAGGGAUAGGUAAGGUAAGGGCUAGGCUAGGCUAGGCUAGGCUAGGCUAGGCUAGGCUAGGAUAGGCUAGGUAAGGUAGGAUAGGAUAGGGUAAGGUAAGGUAAGGUAAGGGAUAGGUAAGGUAAGGGAUAGGCUAGGGAAUGGUAAGGGAUAAGUAAGGUAAGGUAAGGGAUAGGCUAGGUAAGGUAGGAUAGGGUCAGGUAAGGGAUAGGCUAGGGUAAGAUAAGGGAUAGGCUAGGUAAGGUAAGGGAUAGGCUAGGGUAAGGUAGGAUAGGGUAAGGUAAGGUAAGGUAAGGUAAGGGAUAGGCUAGGGUAAGAUAAGGGAUAGGCUAGGGUAGGAUAUAGGAUAGGGUAAGGUAAGGGAUAGGCUAGGGUAAGGUAAGGGAUAGGCUAGGUAAGGUAGGAUAGGGUUAGGUAAGGGAUAGGCUAGGUAAGGUAAGGGAUAGGCUAGGUAAGGUAGGAUAGGGUUAGGUAAGGGAUGGGUUAGGUAAGGGAUAGGCCAGGCAUGGUAAGGGAUAGGUAAUGUAAGGGAUAGGCUAUGUGAGGUAAGGGAUAGGUAAGGUAAGGUAAGGGAUAGGCUAUGUAAGGUAAGGGAUAGGCUAGGUAAGGGAUAGGCUAGGUAAGGUAAGGGAUAGGCUAUGUAAGGUAAGGGAUAGGCUAGGUAAGGGAUAGGCUAGGUAAGGUAAGGGAUAGGCUAGGUAAGGUAAGGGAUAGGCUAGGUAAGGUAGGAUAGGGAUAGGUAAGGUAAGGGAUAGGCUAUGUGAGGUAAGGGAUAGGCUAGGUAAGGUAAGGGAUAGGCUAGGUAAGGUAAGGGAUAGGUAAGGUAAGGGAUAGGCUAGGUAAGGUAGGAUAGGUAAGGUAAGGGAUAGGCUAG